Molecule: long non-coding RNA, 1257 nt
Filed under: Ananas comosus (pineapple)
Lineage: Eukaryota; Viridiplantae; Streptophyta; Magnoliopsida; Poales; Bromeliaceae
Description: long non-coding RNA (ACOM_LNC042363)
Source: RNAcentral
CUCGAUAGUAUCCAAUCUCAUGGCCAACCCGAAGGUUGCCACCCCGGGGUCAACCCCGACUCACUCUCAAUCUCAUAGGUGAGGAGAAUCUGCACUCGCACACCGAGACCGUCUGCGGGACAAUCCUAUGUGAAUACUCCAGAGACCACUGCUUCGGUGGAGUGACCACCGACAAGCGAAAACAGACUAGUGAGUAUGAUCCAAUCCUCACAAGAGGAUACCCUAUCUAUCAGGGUCAAUGUGUCUCUGCUGCACAAUACCAAAUGCAUAAUCAAUGCCUCAAAUGCACUAAUGCCAAAUGCAUAAUGUCUACAACAUGACAAUCGGGAAAAUCUACUAUCCCUAGGUUCAAAUGCCAUAGUGUUCCACUACACUAGAUUUGAUGCCACUCGUUUAUGUCAUGAUGUUAUAUGUGUCUUAAUGCACUAAAUCGACAUGCCACUCGUCAAUAUUAUAGUGUCUUUAUUACACUAGUCCAAACGCCACUCGUCUAGGCCAAUUACAUGUCCAUGUUCAUCAUCAUUCUUGUCACCAUAGGAUUCUUGUCGUAAGACCCAAUCCUCAUGCAAUCUAAGAUCAAGUGUCAAGCCCACAAUGCUACACAACCUAGGUAACAUGCAAGGAAUGGAAAUGUAAUCAUCUACUAAUCCUAUAAUGCACAAUAUAUCAACAUAUAGGAAUAUGAUCAACGUAUAUAACUUAGACAUAAAAGGAAGCUCAGUUGCUUCGGGAUGGACACCCCCCACCUUUUAAUGCUACCAAGAGGCUAGGGUUCCGAUUUCGUGAUUUUUGGAAGCUUUCGCCGCGAGCUGCGGCAAUCUGUACCUUAACGGCUUCGUUUUUUAAUAUCUUCACGUAGCCUCGUCGUAUCGCCGAACCGACUUCGCUAACGCAUCAGAAAACCUAGCAAUUAGGUUUAUACAUGAUCAAUUUAGAUCAAACCCUCACAUAUUGCAAAAUCUCAUUUUUGAGCCCUAACAUGCAAUUACCCCCAAAUAAUCCAAAUUAAAUGGAGCAACAUGCUAAGAAUACUCAUUAGAGGCUACUAGAACACUUAAGCUUAAGGAUUAAGCCAAAUCCCAAAAGUUUACCAAAAUGUGAACGCCGAGACGGAAGCACGCCGUUCCAACGGGUGCACGAAAGCUCGAUCCGUCGCUCCCAACGCGUUCGCAAGCUCGUUCUUCGCCAACGCCGCGAAUUUGGGUGAAAGAUCUAGAGAGAUGAGAGAGUUAUUUAGAGAGAGAAAGUGAGGAUUUC